ACAGCAAGCCGGCUUAUCGCUGCGCCUUCGGGCGGAGAGGAAAGUCCGGGCAACACAGAGCAUCCUGCUUCCUAACGGGAAGGGGCUUUCCGGGCGACGGGAAAGCAACAGCCAGUGCCACAGAAAAUAACCGCCCUUUUUUCUAGUGAUUAGUGAUUAAUGAAUAGUGAUUAGUAAGUUCUUGCAUGAAUAACUAAUCACUAAACCCUAAUCACUAAUCACUAGAAAAAAAGGGUAAGGGUGAAAAGGUGCGGUAAGAGCGCACCAGUGCUUUGGGUGACCAGGGCAGCUGGGUAAACCUCAGGAGUUGAAAGACCAAAUAGGUCCCGAACGUGGAGUUGCUCGCUCCCUGAUCUCUUCGGAGGUUUGUCGGGAUGGGUAGGUUGAUGGAGCCCCGCCGUGAGGUUGGGCCUAGAUAAAUGAUAAGCCUUUCCGGAUUUUUCCGGACUGACAGAACCCGGCUUACAGGCUUGCUGCUUUU
This 481-nucleotide RNase P RNA is filed under the name Adhaeribacter soli. Its description in RNAcentral is "Bacterial RNase P class A". It matches the Rfam family "Bacterial RNase P class A". From Rfam's summary of the family: Ribonuclease P (RNase P) is a ubiquitous endoribonuclease, found in archaea, bacteria and eukarya as well as chloroplasts and mitochondria. Lineage: Bacteria; Pseudomonadati; Bacteroidota; Cytophagia; Cytophagales; Hymenobacteraceae. The record is from Rfam by way of RNAcentral.